AUCAUUGGCGUGGGCAGUGAUUAUAUGGCCAAGAGAUGUAUCCCAAGUAUUUUGAUUGCAGAAAUGAAAGACAUGUAUGUUCUGAUUUUCAGCCUUACUCAAAAUGCUUUAUCUCUGUUUGUUGCGAGAGAGGCAUUGUGAAGGAUGAAGGAUCAUAAUUUUCUCUUACUUUUAAUUGUCAAAGCCUUUAACUGAUGCAACACUGUAUGGACAUCGAGAUAUAUGCAGGAUCCUGGAAGUCAAUAGAGGCAAGGACUCGACCAAUGAUCAUUCCAUGACGAUCCGCCGUGAAGAAGAUUCAUAUGAGGUGAAUAUUGACUUGUCUGAACUGAAUUUGCAGCAUUCAUCAAUGAUUGAACAGAACGGUCCGGGUCACGAUCGCGACUGCAACUUUGAACCAUGGUUGUUGCGGCUUUGACUGACAAUGGAAAUCUUCCUGCUUAUAGAACUUUCACAUACGAUCGCGACUGCAACUUUGAACCAUGUUUGUUGCGGCUUUGACUGACAAUGGAAAUCCUCCUGCUUAUAGAGCUUUCACAUACAAAGAGUUCUGUAGCACAUUCUUUGGGAAAGCUGGUUGCAAUGCUCCAAAUGCUCUAGGAUGCUUCAAGAAUACACCAGAAUGACGAGAAAUUUCCAAUUUUGUGAUGAAUUUUAAAAAAAUUCUACAAAAGGGGUGAUUUUGGUGGGAUAUUUCGUAGGAGGGUUUUCGCAUUCCGCGAAUGCGAGCUCUACUUAUUGAGUACAGCUCUAUUGAGCUCGCAUUCCGCGAAUGCGAGCUUAAGUAUAAUUUAAAUUUUUUUGCUUUUUUUUUGGGAGCUAGAGAAUUUUUUCCAGAAAAUAGUAAGAGCUAAAUGCGAGCUCCUAAAUGUUUUUUUAAAAAAUUCUUCAAAUAGCUCGCAUUUGA
Molecule: long non-coding RNA, 907 nt
Organism: Coffea eugenioides
Lineage: Eukaryota; Viridiplantae; Streptophyta; Magnoliopsida; Gentianales; Rubiaceae
Exons: 3
Source: RefSeq, a predicted model, not a curated record